UAAUGCCGGAUGCUCCAUCACACCGCAUGGUGUGUUGGGAAAGCCUUUGCGGCAUGGGAUGGGGUCGCGUCCUAUCAGCUUGAUGGCGGGGUAACGGCCCACCAUGGCUUCGACGGGUAGCCGGCCUGAGAGGGCGACCGGCCACAUUGGGACUGAGAUACGGCCCAGACUCCUACGGGAGGCAGCAGUGGGGAAUAUUGCACAAUGGGCGCAAGCCUGAUGCAGCGACGCCGCGUGAGGGAUGGAGGCCUUCGGGUUGUAAACCUCUUUUGUUAGGGAGCAAGGCAUUUUGUGUUGAGUGUACCUUUCGAAUAAGCACCGGCUAACUACGUGCCAGCAGCCGCGGUAAUACGUAGGGUGCAAGCGUUAUCCGGAAUUAUUGGGCGUAAAGGGCUCGUAGGCGGUUCGUCGCGUCCGGUGUGAAAGUCCAUCGCUUAACGGUGGAUCCGCGCCGGGUACGGGCGGGCUUGAGUGCGGUAGGGGAGACUGGAAUUCCCGGUGUAACGGUGGAAUGUGUAGAUAUCGGAAAGAACA
RNAcentral lists this ribosomal RNA (534 nucleotides) under Bifidobacterium breve. RNAcentral describes it as "bacterial SSU rRNA". It matches the Rfam family "Bacterial small subunit ribosomal RNA", at positions 164 to 708 of the family's 1533-position model. The record is from RNAcentral. Lineage: Bacteria; Bacillati; Actinomycetota; Actinomycetes; Bifidobacteriales; Bifidobacteriaceae.